UGAGUAACCUGCCCUUCACUCUGGGAUAACUCCGGGAAACCGGGGCUAAUACUGGAUAUGACUCGAACAGGCAUCUGUUUCGGGUGGAAAGAUUUAUUGGUGGAGGAUGGACUCGCGGCCUAUCAGCUCGUUGGUGAGGUAAUGGCUCACCAAGGCGACGACGGGUAGCCGGCCUGAGGAGGGCGAUGGGCCGCACGUGGGACUGAGACACCGGCCCAGACCUCCGUACGGGAGCA
This 236-nucleotide ribosomal RNA is filed under the name uncultured bacterium. RNAcentral describes it as "partial 16S ribosomal RNA". It matches the Rfam family "Bacterial small subunit ribosomal RNA", at positions 118 to 347 of the family's 1533-position model. The record is from RNAcentral.